RNAcentral lists this long non-coding RNA (253 nucleotides) under Ananas comosus (pineapple). RNAcentral describes it as "long non-coding RNA (ACOM_LNC030070)". The record is from RNAcentral. Lineage: Eukaryota; Viridiplantae; Streptophyta; Magnoliopsida; Poales; Bromeliaceae.
UAUAACUAUUAUUAUAUAUAUAUAUAUACAGAAUUCAACUACUAUGCUCUUAAUGGGACAAAACCUUUUAUCCUAUCAAGUCAUUUCGGAUGAUCGAGAAUUUGAUUUAACAAUCAACUUCGUUGAACUUGAUCUAAAGUAUUUGAAGUGUUUAGAAACAAAGUUUAGUAGUUUUUUUAAAUUAUUAAGAAAAACAAUUGAAAUGCUUCAUUAUUGACUAUUUUUAACCGCCUAUAUAUAUGAGUUGUUAAUU